UUGACCUCAAAUCAGGUAGGAUUACCCGCUGAACUUAAGCAUAUCAAUAAGCGGAGGAAAAGAAACCAACAGGGAUUGUCUUAGUAACGGCGAGUGAAGCGACAAAAGCUCAAAUUUGAAAUCUGGCACCUUCGGUGUCCGAGUUGUAAUUUGAAGAAGGUAACUUUGGAGUUGGCUCUUGUCUAUGUUCCUUGGAACAGGACGUCACAGAGGGUGAGAAUCCCGUGCGAUGAGAUGUCCAACUCUAUGUAAAGUGCUUUCGAAGAGUCGAGUUGUUUGGGAAUGCAGCUCUAAGUGGGUGGUAAAUUCCAUCUAAAGCUAAAUAUUGGCGAGAGACCGAUAGCGAACAAGUACAGUGAUGGAAAGAUGAAAAGAACUUUGAAAAGAGAGUGAAAAAGUACGUGAAAUUGUUGAAAGGGAAGGGUUUGAGAUCAGACUUGGUAUUUUGUAUGUCUUGCUUUCGGGUGGGGCCUCUGCAGUUUACUGGGCCAGCAUCGGUUUGGACGGUAGGAUAAUGACAUUGGAAUGUGGCACUACUUCGGUGGUGUGUUAUAGACUUUGUUGAUACUACCUGUCUAGACCGAGGACUGCGUCUUUGACUAGGAUGCUGGCAUAAUGAUCCUAAACCGC
RNAcentral lists this ribosomal RNA (630 nucleotides) under Scheffersomyces insectosa. RNAcentral's name for it is "eukaryotic LSU rRNA". It matches the Rfam family "Eukaryotic large subunit ribosomal RNA", at positions 1 to 648 of the family's 3401-position model. RNAcentral also lists the same sequence under 1 other name. The record is from RNAcentral. Lineage: Eukaryota; Fungi; Ascomycota; Pichiomycetes; Serinales; Debaryomycetaceae.